GGAAAAGAAAGGCUGUCAUUUCCCCCAUCGCGGAAAUCCACCAGAAAUAUUUCUGAUGUUGUCAUAGGUAUAAUAAGCAGCAGCGUCAUCCAGGGAUGGGAAACAUGAUGGAGCAAACGGGGAAAAACACGCCCUCCUUCCUUUUUCUCCAGAGUGGUCGCUGUGCCUCUGGGAAAGUCAUGGUGCCCCUGGGCUCACGUGGGAACAGCUUUUUCCUUUGUGACUUACCUUUAGGGGACAGAACUACACCCUGGCAGGGGACACAGGGAGAUGGUGACCCCACAGGCUUUCUCGUGCCACUGCCAGUCUUCCCGGGUAGCGGGUCCCAGGCAGAUCUGAGCAGAACCUACUGGUCCCAGGUCGCCGAAUAGGAAGUGGGCGGAGAGGGCACAGCAGGGACCAGAGCCUGGGCUCCUGUGGCUCGGGCGUCAGGUGUGUCACCCAGGCAGGUGCGUCACCUUCGUCACCCCCUGCUGCAAACAUGCAGCCUUUUCCUCGGUUUGGUCCGCACGUCCAGGUUCUGCACAGCUCUCUGCAGAGCCUUAGUGCCUGGCUUUGGUGCAGGUGCUCCCACAGCCACGAUUUCACGUCAGGAGCCCGGCGACCCUAGCGUUGCCCAAGCCUCAUUGUCCCCUGCGGUGGACUGGGCUGCUCGGCUGCCUCACUUUCUCACCCUUGCUUUGAGUGGCGGGCCCAACCCAAUGCCUCCUGCCCCUGGUUCCAGCCCUUCCAUGGAGGUGACAGCUGCCUGGGGGCCAAGGGUCCACUGCGGCAUCUCCGUCACAGCACCGCUUUCUGAUGCAGCCUCUGCUGGGGCCGUCCAUACUGGGGCAGGUUCACCUGGGGCCUUCUGUAGUGGGGUGGGCUCACCUGGCCGAAGGUCACCCCGUCUACGUGCUGGCCAUAGGUGCUGGCCAUCGUUGGGGCUGUGGUGCCCCCGGGUGAACUGGUUGCUGCCAGGGGAGGCCUCUCGUAAAAGGAAGGAGAGGUCCGCGGACUGGGGUUGCGUCCACUUUCUGCUGUGAAUUCAGGGGUACAGAUACCCAAUCAAGGCCCUGCUGUUGAUUUUUUUUUUUUCUCCUUUACUCAAGAAAGCAGUACAUUCAGCUUUUUUUCCAGGUUUUUGUUUCAGAUUGUCUCUGCCUGCUGUCGAUGUUUGAGGGUAUCUACCAUGCAACGGAACUGCUGGGUCCUGUCGUAGUUCCGUGUUUAAAUUUUUGAGGAGCCUCCAAACUGGUUUCCACUGCGGCUGCGCCUUCCCAUCCCGCCAGGCCAGCGCCGCAGAGGUCUAGCUCCCCCGGCACUUGCCGUUUUCUGGUGUUGCGAUCCGAGCCAUCCCGAUGGGUGUGAAGUGGCAUCUUGAUGUGGUUUUGAUUUGCAUUCAGAGAGACAGAAGGUGGAAUAGUGGUGACCCCAGGCCAGGGGGAGGUUCGUGGAGGGUUAAUGGGGACAGAGUGUCCAUUGGGGAGGUGACAAACUUGUAGAGACACAGGGUGGUGAUGGUUGCAUAACAGUGCGCGUGUAUCGAAUGCUAUGGAAAAAUGGUGAAAAUGAGAAACUUUGUGCUCCGUGUGUUUUCCCACAAGAAUAGAAAAGUGAGAUGCGACACGGGAGAAACCCAGAUGGAAGGACACUCUGUUAAGCACCUGGGCAGUGCUCCUUCCCAUUGUCAAGAUCGUCAGAGACAAGGGAGCUGCAAGAAACUGAGGACCCGAGGCGGCCGGGGUGGCGGGAUGACCGAUGUGGCGUGGGUUCUGGCUGGGCUCCUGGGGUAGGAGAAAGGACCGCACGGGAACAGGCUGAAGUCCAGACAAGGGUCUCACAGGCACCCUGCGCUGGCUUCUUGAUUGUGACAAAUGUCCCACGGGUUUGAGGCUGUUCACAGAGCGCAGUGGCUAAGACUUCACCCGCAUUCACGGGAAUCCCCUGGACUAUCUGUGCAACUUUUCUGUAAACCUGAAUUGAUUUUAAAAUGAGGAGGCUGUUCAGAAGGGAGAGGUGUCUGGUCUGAGUGGGCGCAGCCCAGAGGUACCAUGUCACCUGCGGCUGGAGGGAUGGCAGGACCUGAGAGGCGAGGCAUUGAGGGAAGAGUGUGUGGGCAGAAGGAACCUCACCCAAGGUGGCUCAGAAGGCAGUGCGGUGUUGGCACAGCUAAGAUCCUCAAAGAACUGCUUCCCCACUGCCUUCGCUGCGGCUCCACCAGAGAGAACAGCCUCAGUCGCUGGAGCUUGUUUUUUUCCAAGUGUCGACACCUUGUGAGUUGCUUCCCUGUGUUCUUAACAUUAAUACCUGUUUUUGUGUAUGUGUGAGUGAAAAGCCUUUUUUUUUUUUUUAAAUUCAGCUUUUAUAGCAAAAAGCAAGCAAACAAAAUACUCGUUUAUAGGCGAUAAAGCAAAACAAAGCAAAUAGGAAUUACAUGGAAUUUACAACCCAGAGAGAGCAUGGUUAUUAUUUUGAGGUAUAUUCAUUCUUCCAGACUUUUUUCAUCUUUAACCUUUGUCUCCCUGGAAGACCACAGUCAUCCUUCUGAAUAAUCCUCAUUGUGCUGAAACCCAGGGAAUUCUCAGGGGCUCUGGGUUGUGUGGGCUCUGCUUUGCAUGCCGAGGUGAGCAGCCCCCCAGGAAGUUCCUUCCGAGGUGGGACUUGAUGGGGGGCAGGCACAGCCUCCUGUAGAGGAGUGGUGAGCAGGACCAAGGCACCCGGCCCGGCCUGCUGAGGGAAGCCGUGCCUGGUGAUCACUCUGUCUCUGUGAAUUUGACUCCUUAGGUAGCUCUGAUGACCCCUCAUGUAUGCCCUGUCUCUAUGAACUUGACUCCCUGAAAGUAGCUCCUAGUAAUGCAAUCGAGUGUUUGUAUUUUUGUGGCUGGCAUGUUUCACUUUGCGUAAUGUCCUCACGGUUCAUCUGUGCUGUAGCGGGUGUCAGAAUUUUCUUCCUUUUCAAGGCUGAGUAAUAUUCCAUUGCGUGUAUGGACCACGUUUUCUUUACCCAGUCGUCUGUUGGUAGAUACUUGGGUUGCUUCUACCAGUUGGCUCUUGUGAAUAAUGCUGCUGUGCAUAUAGAUGUUCAAGUAUCUCUUAGAGAUCCUGCUUUCAUUUCUUUGGGGUGUAGACCCACAAGUGGGACUGGAGUCGAUCCCAUGACAGUUCUCUUCAUUUUUGGAGGAACCUCGAUUCUCCAUACCACCGACAGUGGUAGAGGCCAGGGCCGCUGCUCAACUGCGGGCAGGGCACAGGACAGCCUCCACUGCAAAGAACCACCUUGCCCCACACAGCAGGGUGCUGCGGCAGAGGAACCUGACUGUGAGUGCGUGAGGGGCGGGGGGUGGGGGGGUGGCAUGGAAUGAGGUGUGAAGGUGGAGACAGGCAGCCAGGCUGCUGCCAAAUUGGUGAGAAUAAAAGGAAUAACCGUGGCAGUGCUGAAUCUUUACCGAGCUCUUCUCAGAGCGCCAGGCCCCCGGCAAGCCCCGUUCCUGCCUUUUCUCAUUUAAACCCAUGACACCGCAAGGGUGGUCCCGAGCAGGGUGAAAGUGGCACACAGUAGGUUCUCAGCAGCCUGAGCUGCUCCCCCUGCAGACACAUGUCCUGCGCACUGUGACUCUCGUCCCCAUCAGCGUUGCUCCUUGAGGUACUUUGUCCUUUUGAAACCUGGGCGCAAACACGGGCGGCCAGGCCAGCAGAUAAGACAGCCGUGUAAACACACAGCCCUUCCUGGUGGAGCCCGCCUGCCGGUGUUUUGAGUGAUGGGGUGGGGUUGCCUGGCAACCAGGCCUGGGCGUCCCCCUACUGCCCUCCCGCACAGGACUUCCUUCUUCUGUGUGCGGCUUCCAGCUCCUUGGUGCCCACAGGCAGGCCGUGCGGGCGGAGGAGAGGGUGUUAUCGAAUGCCAGGCCUGGCUGAAUGGGCCAGGUGAUGUGACAUCAGGCCCUGGCAUGGACCGGUUGGUUUGGUGCAAGAAUAAUGGUGACAGUUUGUUACUACCACAGCAGUAACGGUUGUUUAUUGAGCGCCUACUGUGUGUAU
RNAcentral lists this long non-coding RNA (4020 nucleotides) under Sus scrofa (pig). RNAcentral's name for it is "lncRNA (ENSSSCG00005030038.1)". Lineage: Eukaryota; Metazoa; Chordata; Mammalia; Artiodactyla; Suidae. The record is from RNAcentral.